GAUGAACGCUGGCGGCGUGCCUAAUACAUGCAAGUCGAGCGAACAGACGAGGAGCUUGCUCCUCUGACGUUAUCGGCGGACGGGUGAGUAACACGUGGAUAACCUACCUAUAAGACUGGGAUAACAUCGGGAAACCGGAGCUACUACCGGAUAAUAUAUCGAACCGCAUGGUUCAAUAGUUAAAGACGGUUUUUCUUUCACUUAUAGAUGGAUCCGCCUCGCAUUAGUUAGUUGGUAAGGUAACGGAUUACCAACGCAACGAUGCGUAGCCGACCUGAGCGGGUGAUCGGCCACACGGGAACUGAGACACGGUCCAGACUCCUACAGGAGGCAGCAGUAGAGACUCUUCCGCGAAGGGCGAGAGCCUGACGGAGCAACGUCGCGUGAGUGAUGAAGGUCUUCUGAUCGUAAAGCGCUGUUAUUAGGGAAGUACAAAUGUGUAAGUAACUAUGCACGUCUUGACGGUACCUGAACAGAAAGCCACGGCUAACUACGUG
RNAcentral lists this ribosomal RNA (497 nucleotides) under uncultured bacterium. RNAcentral's name for it is "partial 16S ribosomal RNA". It matches the Rfam family "Bacterial small subunit ribosomal RNA", at positions 28 to 507 of the family's 1533-position model. The record is from RNAcentral.